Molecule: ribosomal RNA, 248 nt
Filed under: uncultured Lachnospiraceae bacterium
Lineage: Bacteria; Bacillati; Bacillota; Clostridia; Lachnospirales; Lachnospiraceae
Description: partial 16S ribosomal RNA
Rfam family: Bacterial small subunit ribosomal RNA
Source: RNAcentral
UACGUAGGGGGCGAGCGUUAUCCGGAUUUACUGGGUGUAAAGGGAGCGCAGGCGGCGUGGCAAGUCAGAUGUGAAAACCCGGGGCCCAACCCGGGACUGCAUUUGAAACUGCCAUGCUGGAGUGCCGGAGAGGCAAGUGGAAUUCCUAGUGUAGUGGUGAAAUGCGUAGAUAUUAGGAGGAACACCAGUGGCGGAGGCGGCUUGCUGGACGGUAACUGACGCUGAGGCUCGAAAGCGUGGGGAGCAAA